UCCCUUGUGGCUCAGUUGGUAAAGAAUCCGCCUGCAAUGCGGGAGACCUGGGUUCAAUCCCUAGGUCGGGAA
Molecule: transfer RNA, 72 nt
Filed under: Ovis aries (sheep)
Lineage: Eukaryota; Metazoa; Chordata; Mammalia; Artiodactyla; Bovidae
Rfam family: tRNA
About the family: Transfer RNA (tRNA) molecules are approximately 80 nucleotides in length. Their secondary structure includes four short double-helical elements and three loops (D, anti-codon, and T loops).
Source: Rfam by way of RNAcentral